RNAcentral lists this long non-coding RNA (239 nucleotides) under Brassica napus (rape). RNAcentral's name for it is "long non-coding RNA (BNAP_LNC024623)". The record is from RNAcentral. Lineage: Eukaryota; Viridiplantae; Streptophyta; Magnoliopsida; Brassicales; Brassicaceae.
UGGUCGGUAGCUUUGGCUUUCUUGUCUGAGCUUGUGACUGAGAAGAAUGUUAAGCAUUUUGCAGAGAGUAUGAUAAGGAUCUGCGAUCCGAGCUUAGUAUAAUAGGGUUUCAGUUUUAAUAUAUCUUUAUCUUCCACUUUGAUCAAUCUGUCUAGGUUUAAGUUGUAAUAACUUGUCUUCUUCCACUUUGAUGAAUCUGUCUAGUUUUAAUAUCUUGUAUCUAGACUUUUGGUUUUCUC